This 234-nucleotide ribosomal RNA is filed under the name uncultured bacterium. RNAcentral describes it as "partial 16S ribosomal RNA". It matches the Rfam family "Bacterial small subunit ribosomal RNA", at positions 99 to 334 of the family's 1533-position model. The record is from RNAcentral.
CGAACGGGUGAGUAACACGUGGGUGACCUGCCCCCUACUCUGGGAUAAGCUUGGGAAACUGGGUCUAAUACCGGAUAUGACAUGUUCCUGCAUGGGGAUGUGUGGAAAGCUUUUGUGGUGGGGGAUGGGCCCGCGGCCUAUCAGCUUGUUGGUGGGGUGAUGGCCUACCAAGGCUUCGACGGGUAGCCGGCCUGAGAGGGCGUCCGGCCACACUGGGACUGAGACACGGCCCAG